UGGGGAAUAUUGGACAAUGGGGGCAACCCUGAUCCAGCCAUGCCGCGUGAGUGAAGAAGGCCUUAGGGUUGUAAAGCUCUUUCGGCGGGGACGAUGAUGACGGUACCCGCAGAAGAAGCCCCGGCUAACUCCGUGCCAGCAGCCGCGGUAAUACGGAGGGGGCGAGCGUUGUUCGGAAUUACUGGGCGUAAAGCGCACGUAGGCGGCGUGUCAAGUCGGGGGUGAAAGGCCUGGGCUUAACCUGGGAACUGCCCUUGAUACUGGCAGGCUGGAGUCCGGGAGGGGGGGGCGGAAUGCCCAGGGUAGAGGUGAAAUUCGUAGAUAUUGGGAAGAACACCGGUGGCGAAGGCGGCCACCUGGCCCGGUACUGACGCUGAGGUGCGAAAGCGUGGGGAGCAAACA
This 402-nucleotide ribosomal RNA is filed under the name uncultured prokaryote. RNAcentral describes it as "bacterial SSU rRNA". It matches the Rfam family "Bacterial small subunit ribosomal RNA", at positions 355 to 774 of the family's 1533-position model. The record is from RNAcentral.